GCAGUAGCCACGGGAAUACGUAGGGUGCAAGCGUUAAUCGGAAUUACUGGGCGUAAAGCGUGCGCAGGCGGUUUGUUAAGACAGAUGUGAAAUCCCCGGGCUCAACCUGGGAACUGCAUUUGUGACUGGCAAGCUAGAGUGUGGCAGAGGGGGGUGGAAUUCCGCGUGUAGCAGUGAAAUGCGUAGAUAUGCGGAGGAAUACCGAUGGCGAAGGCAGCCCCCUGGGAUAGCACUGACGUUCAUGCCCGAAAGCGUGGGUAGCAAACAGGAUUAGAUACCCGGGUAGUCCCUGUCUCUUAUAC
RNAcentral lists this ribosomal RNA (302 nucleotides) under uncultured bacterium. RNAcentral describes it as "partial 16S ribosomal RNA". It matches the Rfam family "Bacterial small subunit ribosomal RNA", at positions 508 to 807 of the family's 1533-position model. The record is from RNAcentral.